UAUGAGCUUUUUGCAAAAUUUCGAGCCCAGCCAAAUAUUACAUUACUUCCUCUUCUCGCCUUCGAUUUGCUUGGAGUUGCAGCCGUAAGUUAUCUAGAACUUAAACACACCGUCUAGCUCACCAUAACGUUUUCAGCUUGCAUUAAUAUGUGCAGCUUUUAUGUGGCUAACUUAAUCCUCCACCCCCAAGCGUUCAAUCAACCUAAUCGCAAUCUAGGCGUAGUCUGCUUACCGAUUACGACAACGGUGAAUUUCGUCAUUAUGAAUCGACAAUCUAUAUAUAAAUUUGUCAGAUUCUUGACGUGAAAUUCAUCAGUUCCUCUCCCUCAAUCAUUAUAAUCAAUUUCUCUCUCGAUGGUUUAGUUUCCCUUCUUCUCAUCGCUGCUAUAUUGCAUGGAUCAAUUUUGUUUGUAAUGCAUCUCUAAUCUUUUUUUGAUGUAUUUUUCCCUGCCUUGACUAAGAUCGUCGGGACUCUCGAUCCUAAAUCCCGAUCCGUCGAAACUCUCUCUGUGGCCCGAUUCGAUUCUCCAUGGGUGACUCUGAUGAUCUGAAAUUUUUUUGUGAAGAGCACUAAGAAGCUUGGUACUAAAGUAUACGUAAAUUAUUGGGUCCUCUUUUUUAAUGGUGGAAGCAAAUCCAUGAUCGCAUCGAACACUGUCAUGACCACUCUGUCAUGGAGAUUGACGAUGAAGAAAUCUCUUGGAUCACCAAUCGUCCUGCUGUUCAUCUGGAGACGGGGAAGAUAAAGCUGAGGCUCAGGAGGGUGAGAUGGUUGGGAAGGAGCCUGAGGUAGAGAAGAAAAGAGAACCAGAGCCGGAGUUUGAAAAACAGAAGGAGAAGAAGCAUACAACUUUGAAGGAGAAAGAGAUGGAGAAUACUGCGUACAAGGACUUAGAAACUGCUAUCAAUAAGAGAGAGAUACAGAAACAGGAAGAGGUGAAGCGUUUAAAGAGGGAGGCUGCUAAGGUAGAGAGGAAGCACAUAGAAAAAAUAAGAAGAGGAGGCCCGGGAGUGCGCAAAGCGUCAAGCUGCAAGGAGAGAAGCUACUAGACUGAGAAUGAGCCAAGAGAAGGUACUUCCUCUUGACAGAUCUGAGAAAGGACCUGAUGCUACACAUGCUACAAGAGUCAGCAGAAGUUAUUUGAUUCUUUGUCGAUGCUAGAUAAAUUCUCUGGAUAAGUUCUUUGAAACAGCAUAAACAUAUACACAUUACAUUUAUACAUGGAUGAAUUAGAAAACCUGUUUUAUGUAAUGUGUCUCAGAACAUUUGUGAAAAUAUAAUGAUCAGGUUUGAAACA
Molecule: long non-coding RNA, 1298 nt
Organism: Brassica napus (rape)
Lineage: Eukaryota; Viridiplantae; Streptophyta; Magnoliopsida; Brassicales; Brassicaceae
Exons: 4
Source: RefSeq, a predicted model, not a curated record